CGGGAUAGCCACUGGAAACGGUGAUUAAUACCGGAUACUCCUUCUUGUUAUAAGACAAGUCGGGAAAGUUUUUCGCUAAGGGAUCAGUCUAUGUUCCAUCAGCUUGUUGGUGAGGUAAUGGCUCACCAAGGCUAUGACGGAUAUCUGGUUUGAGAGGAUGAUCAGACGCACUGGAACUGAGACACGGUCCAGACUCCUACGGGAGGCAGCAGUGAGGAAUAUUGCACAAUGGAGGAAACUCUGAUGCAGCAACGCCGCGUGGAGGAUGACGCAUUUCGGUGUGUAAACUCCUUUUAUUAGGGAAGAUAAUGACGGUACCUAAUGAAUAAGCACCGGCUAACUCCGUGCCAGCAGCCGCGGUAAUACGGAGGGUGCAAGCGUUACUCGGAAUCACUGGGCGUAAAGGGUGCGUAGGCUGGCUUUUAAGUCAGAUGUGAAAUCCAAUGGCUCAACCAUUGAACUGCAUUUGAAACUGAAAGCCUAGAGUUCAGAAGGGGCAGAUGGAAUUAGUGGUGUAGGGGUAAAAUCCGUAGAUAUCACUAGGAAUAUCAAAAGCGAAGGCGAUCUGC
This 569-nucleotide ribosomal RNA is filed under the name uncultured bacterium. RNAcentral describes it as "bacterial SSU rRNA". It matches the Rfam family "Bacterial small subunit ribosomal RNA", at positions 139 to 729 of the family's 1533-position model. The record is from RNAcentral.